This 1886-nucleotide ribosomal RNA is filed under the name human gut metagenome. RNAcentral's name for it is "bacterial LSU rRNA". It matches the Rfam family "Bacterial large subunit ribosomal RNA", at positions 3 to 1985 of the family's 2925-position model. The record is from RNAcentral.
UCAAGCUACAAAGAGCACAAGGGGAAUGCCUUGGCACCGAGAGCCGAAGAAGGACGUGACUAACUGCGAUAAGCUACGGGGAGCUGUAAGUGAGCGUUAUAUCCGUAGAUUUCCGAAUGGAGCAAUCCGAUUAGAGGAAAGUCUAAUCAUCAUAUACUGAAUACAUAGGUAUAUGAGGGGAACCGCCUGAACUGAAACAUCUAAGUAGGGCGAGGAAGAGAAAUCAACUGAGAUUCCGUAAGUAGUGGCGAGCGAACGCGGAAGAGGCCAAACCUAAUGUAGUAAUAUGUUAGGGGUUCGGACAGUAUAAUGAAUUGUCGAGAUUUAGCCGAAUGUCAUGGGAAGGGCAAUCAAAGAUGGUGAAAAUCCAGUAGGCGAAAAGUUAAGACAUCAGACUGUAUCCAGAGUACCGCCGGACACGUGAAACCCGGUGGGAAUACGGGGGGACCAUCCUCCAAGCCUAAAUACUACUCGGUGACCGAUAGAGAAGAAGUACUGUGAAGGAAAGGUGAAAAGCACCCCGGAAGGGGAGUGAAAGAGAACCUGAAACCUUGUGUUUACAAGCACCGAAAGUUCAUCAACGAACGAUCGGGUACCUUUUGUAGAAUGGUCCGGCGAGUGAAUGUAACUGGCAAGGUUAAGCACUUAAGGUGUGAAGCCGUAGCGAGAGCGAGUCUGAAAAGGGCGCAUGAAGUCAGUUGUAUUCGACCCGAAACCGGGUGACCUACCCAUGUCCAGGCUGAAGUGCAGGUAAAACUUCAUGGAGGGCCGAACCGACUCCCGUUGAAAUGGUAGCGGAUGAGGUGUGGGUAGCGGAGAAAUUCCAAUCGAACCCGGAGAUAGCUGGUUCUCUCCGAAAUAGCUUUAGGGCUAGCCUUGGAAUAGAUUACUGGAGGUAAAGCACUGAAUUGGCUAGGGGCCGAGAGGUUACUGAACCUUAUCAAACUAAGAAUGCCAGAUAAUCGUUUUCCAGGAGUCAGACAGUGGGAGAUAAGUUUCAUUGUCAAAAGGGAAACAGCCCAGACCUACAGCUAAGGUCCCAAAGUAUAGUUAAGUGGAAAAGGAUGUGGAAUUGCAUAGACAACCAGGAUGUUGGCUUAGAAGCAGCCACUCAUUAAAAGAGUGCGUAAUAGCUCACUGGUCGAGUGAUUCUGCGCCGAAAAUUUAACGGGGCUAAACUAUACACCGAAGCUUAGGAUACCGCAAGGUAUGGUAGGAGAGCGUUCUGUACGGAGUGAAGUCGUAGCGAAAGCGGCGGUGGACUGUACAGAAGUGAGAAUGCCGGAAUAAGUAGCGAGAAUUAAGUGAGAAUCUUAAUGGCCGAAAGUCUAAGGUUUUUGGAGGAAGGUUCGUCCGCUCCAAGUAAGUCGGGAGCUAAGGUCAGGCCGAAAGGCGUAGCCGAUGCACAAACGGUUGAUAUUCCGUUACCGUCUACAAUUUAAACAAAGGGACACAUACAAAGCGUUUAACCCGGGCGAUGGUUGACCCGGGCGCAAGGGACUGAAAUAAGAGUAGGGAAGUAAAUGUGGCGUAUGGCGAGAAAAGCUUUGUGAAUAGAAGUAGACGCCCGUACCGCAAACCGACACAGGUGGACAGGAAGAGAAUUCUAAGGCCAGCGGGAGAAGGGUAGUUAAGGAACUCGGCAAAUUGACUCCGUAACUUCGGAAUAAGGAGUGCUCGAAAGAGCCGCAGAGAAUAGGCCCAGGCGACUGUUUAGCAAAAACACAGGUCUCUGCCAAAUCGAAAGAUGAAGUAUAGGGGCUGACACCUGCCCGGUGCCGGAAGGUUAAGAGGAGGAGUGCAAGCUCCGAAUUGAAGCCCCGGUAAACGGCGGCCGUAACUAUAACGGUCCUAAGGUAGCGAAAUUCCUUGUCGGGUAAGUUCCG